UACGGAGGGGGCAAGCGUUGUCCGGAAUCACUGGGCGUAAAGGGCGCGUAGGCGGCUCAUGAAGGCUGUGGUGAAAGUCCGGGGCUCAACCUCGGAUCGGCCGUGGCGACUCGUGGGCUGGAGCACUGUAGAGGCGGGUGGAAUUCCCGGUGUAGCGGUGGAAUGCGUAGAGAUCCGGAAGAACACCAGUGGCGAAGGCAGCCAUCUGGACCGACACUGACGCUGAGGCGCGAAAGCGUGGGGAGCAAACAGG
This 253-nucleotide ribosomal RNA is filed under the name uncultured bacterium. RNAcentral's name for it is "partial 16S ribosomal RNA". It matches the Rfam family "Bacterial small subunit ribosomal RNA", at positions 524 to 776 of the family's 1533-position model. The record is from RNAcentral.